AUGUUUCUCACCACUGUUUCCCGCUUACAGUGCGACUUCAUCUUCAGUGAGAGAUUCGGGCUUCUUUUCAUCCGCACCUUUGUCAUUCAAUUUCGGCCACAAAUGGGAUACAUCCAAGCAGAGGUGGGGCUCGAGUUCAACAACACGGCAUCACCCGAUCGAAUCCCACAGGCCGAUGUUGUUGCAGAAACCUUGAGAGUUGCUGUGAAUAACGCAAGCAACACCUUCAACCUCAGUAUCGAUCCAGCCUCCAUCGAAGUCAUUCGUAAGUAAACAUUUACCACGUGUACCUAAAUAUCCACCACAAAGUAUCAGUGCUUGGCAAUGUGCCAAAUAAUGUUUACCUUGACUCCUCAUUCACUGAUCUACACCUAUAGGAUCAACAACAACUACAAGGCCAAGGACAACUGGAAUCACUGCAGCUCCUUCACCAGUUGUGCUUCUCACAGCAACCCUGCAAGAACCAUUUGUAGAAGAACUCAACAAUCGCAGCAGCGCGGAAUACAGAAAUCUUGAAAGACAAGUUGUAGCAAUCGUACGUACAAUUUUAAGUAAAUUCAAACAAUUGUUGCUGUUGUGACUCAACUUUAAAUUUCUGUUUGAUUUCACUUAAAAAGCCCUGUGACUUUUAUGCUUCAUGUUUCUCACCACUGUUUCCCGCUUACAGUGCGACUUCAUCUUCAGUGAGAGAUUCGGGCUUCUUUUCAUCCGCACCUUUGUCAUUCAAUUUCGGUAACGUUUUCCCCCUUUAAGUCUCUGACCUAAAGUUAAUCAACUCAUAGCUAGAGAAGGAUCUUGUGGGAAUUGGUCAUGUGUAGUAAAGAAUUUGAGUGAAUUGUUAGAAAAAAAAAUUUAAAGUCAAAGUUUAGCAAACGUGAUAUUUUAAAAUAAAACCGGUUGAUUAAAGAAAUGUACUUUUGUGAUGCAAGGCCACAAAUGGGAUACAUCCAAGCAGAGGUGGGGCUCGAGUUCAACAACACGGCAUCACCCGAUCGAAUCCCACAGGCCGAUGUUGUUGCAGAAACCUUGAGAGUUGCUGUGAAUAACGCAAGCAACACCUUCAACCUCAGUAUCGAUCCAGCCUCCAUCGAAGUCAUUCGUAAGUAAACAUUUACCACGUGUACCUAAAUAUCCACCACAAAGUAUCAGUGCUUGGCAAUGUGCCAAAUAAUGUUUACCUUGACUCCUCAUUCACUGAUCUACACCUAUAGGAUCAACAACAACUACAAGGCCAAGGACAACUGGAAUCACUGCAGCUCCUUCACCAGUUGUGCUUCUCACAGCAACCCUGCAAGAACCAUUUGUAGAAGAACUCAACAAUCGCAGCAGCGCGGAAUACAGAAAUCUUGAAAGACAAGUUGUAGCAAUCGUACGUACAAUUUUAAGUAAAUUCAAACAAUUGUUGCUGUUGUGACUCAACUUUAAAUUUCUGUUUGAUUUCACUUAAAAAGCCCUGUGACUUUUAUGCUUCAUGUUUCUCACCACUGUUUCCCGCUUACAGUGCGACUUCAUCUUCAGUGAGAGAUUCGGGCUUCUUUUCAUCCGCACCUUUGUCAUUCAAUUUCGGUAACGUUUUCCCCCUUUAAGUCUCUGACCUAAAGUUAAU
This is a long non-coding RNA of Dicentrarchus labrax (European seabass), 1606 nucleotides long. NCBI's taxonomy places the organism in Eukaryota, Metazoa, Chordata, Actinopteri, Moronidae. The record is from Ensembl.